GGGAGAAGCCCAGCACCGAAUCCCGCGAUCGUUUUGGUCGCAGGGAAAUGUGGUGUUAGGGAGGGUCCGCCAUCCCGAGGCCGUGCGGUGCGUCCAAGUCCUUCUUGAACGCGGCCACUUACCCACAGAGGGUGCCAGGCCCGUAGUGACCGCUGCCGGCAACGGGAGGACCUCUCCUCAGAGUCGGGUUGCUUGAGAGUGCAGCCCUAAGUGGGUGGUAAACUCCAUCUAAGGCUAAAUAUAACCACGAGACCGAUAGCGAACAAGUACCGUGAGGGAAAGUUGAAAAGAACUUUGAAGAGAGAGUUCAAUAGUACGUGAAACCGUUCAGGGGUAAACCUGAGAAACCCGAAAUUUCGAAAGGGGUGAUUCAGCGUGUCCCGCACGGAGGCGAGUUGAAUAGGUGUGACCCGCGCCCUUCGGGACGCGGGCUCCCGUUUCUUCCGACCUCCGUCGAACGCGUGCACUUCUCCCCUAGUAGGACGUCGCGACCCGUUGGGUGCAGGCCUAAGGGCGUGGGUGGAGACCGUGCGACACCUUCGGGUGUUCGUUCACGGACCCCGCGUUCCCGGUCUGCCCGCUCGACGGUAUGACAGUGGCGCUGGGCCGCGAAAACGUUCGCGUCCGGCACGUCGCAAGUGCGGUCGGUUCAUGUGUCGAACGCUGUCGGACCUGGUGCCGGCUUCGAACCCGACCCGCUGUUGGCGACGGUGCUCUCGGACAGACCCGGUAUAUUUCUAACGCCCGUCUGCGACGCUUUUGAUUUGGGUACUUUCAGGACCCGUCUUGAAACACGGACCAAGGAGUCUAGCAUGUGCGCGAGUCAUUGGGACCUGCGAAUCCUAAAGGCGUAAUGAAAGUGAAGGCCGCCCCGUGCGCGCCUAGGGUGGAUGCGCCGGUCACCGUACCGAUGCGCCGCACACCCGGGGCGUCUCGUGCUCACUGCGAGCUGAGGCGCACCUAGAGCGUACAUGCUGGGACCCGAAAGA
This 989-nucleotide ribosomal RNA is filed under the name Atanygnathus sp. SC-2010. Its description in RNAcentral is "eukaryotic LSU rRNA". It matches the Rfam family "Eukaryotic large subunit ribosomal RNA", at positions 100 to 823 of the family's 3401-position model. Lineage: Eukaryota; Metazoa; Arthropoda; Insecta; Coleoptera; Staphylinidae. The record is from RNAcentral.